RNAcentral lists this transfer RNA (75 nucleotides) under Oscillospiraceae bacterium. RNAcentral describes it as "tRNA-Gln". It matches the Rfam family "tRNA". From Rfam's summary of the family: Transfer RNA (tRNA) molecules are approximately 80 nucleotides in length. Their secondary structure includes four short double-helical elements and three loops (D, anti-codon, and T loops). The record is from RNAcentral. Lineage: Bacteria; Bacillati; Bacillota; Clostridia; Eubacteriales; Oscillospiraceae.
GGAGGCAUAGCCAAGCGGAAAGGCAUGGGAUUUUGGUCCCCAUAAUCACUGGUUCAAAUCCAGUUGCCUCUGCCA